This is a non-coding RNA of Podarcis lilfordi (Lilford's wall lizard), 716 nucleotides long. Lineage: Eukaryota; Metazoa; Chordata; Lepidosauria; Squamata; Lacertidae. The record is from the annotation of a GenBank genome assembly.
UAACAACCCCUCCCUAAGAAGAUCCGUCACACGACUGAUAGCAAGUGAGAUAGGAGAAUAAAACUGUGUGGAAAUAAAUCAAUAACUAAAGGCUUUGCUUAGUGGAAGAUCUGGAAAGGAAAUGAAAGGCUUUUGGAUGAUGCAGUUCUAAUUGAGAACCGCCAUUAUGAGCAGGCUUUGUUGCAGGAUUUACGGUCAAGGGGGAGAGGAAGCCACGGCUUUGUUAUCAUAUCUGAAUUUUACGUUUGAUCUGGCAAGAACUCCCCUGAAAAGACUGAUGUAUGGAGCAACAGGUCUGGGAAAGUUAAUGAGCAGACGCCUAGACUGUAUUUUAUGGGACUUGCUGAAAUGGCGUCUGCCGUUUGAACAGGACUUUUGGAUUAGUGUGAAAAUCCACAUAGGACUAUAAUAAUGUUUGUUUCAACUCGCUUGUGGAGAUAAUCUCAGAGGUUAUAAAGAAGGAGAAAAAAAUGAUAACAAUAAGAAGAUUAGAAGACGGGAUUUGUAAAGGAUAACAACAAAGAGAUGGAAAGAUGGGACUUGUGAACAUCAAAGCAGCACAAAUAUGAGAGGAUUGGACCCUUUCUGAGCUCGAAGCAUGGGUACCCCCAACAAAAAUUUAAAAUUUGGUUAAAUAUUUGGAUAUAUUUGGAGUUUAUUAUGUAAUGGUAUAAUUUGGAAUUAAUGUGAUAUGAUUGGUUUGUCAAUUGGAAAUU